RNAcentral lists this ribosomal RNA (336 nucleotides) under Triticum aestivum (bread wheat). RNAcentral's name for it is "partial small subunit ribosomal RNA". Lineage: Eukaryota; Viridiplantae; Streptophyta; Magnoliopsida; Poales; Poaceae. The record is from RNAcentral.
AUGGGGAUGCUGUUCGUGGAGUACCUCCCGGGGCCCAAGGUGUUCAAGUGCAAGUUCUGCAGGGUUGACUCGGCGUCGCCGGACGACAUCGUGUCCAAGGAGUUCCGUGGCCGCCACGGCCGCGCCUACCUCUUCGAUAGCGUGGUGAAUGUGAGCCUUGGUCCCAAUGAGGAUCGCCAUCUUUUGACUGGAUUGCAUACAGUGAACGAUAUCUACUGUAGCUGCUGCCAACGACUCCUUGGCUGGAAAUAUGCGAAAGCCUACAACGAAGACCAGAAGUACAAAGAAGGAAAGUUCAUACUAGAGAAGAACAUGAUGCUGAAAGAAGGACGUUAG